This 1457-nucleotide ribosomal RNA is filed under the name uncultured Porphyromonadaceae bacterium. RNAcentral describes it as "16S ribosomal RNA". It matches the Rfam family "Bacterial small subunit ribosomal RNA". Lineage: Bacteria; Pseudomonadati; Bacteroidota; Bacteroidia; Bacteroidales; Porphyromonadaceae. The record is from RNAcentral.
GAUGAACGCUAGCGACAGGCUUAACACAUGCAAGUCGAGGGGCAGCGGGUAUUUAGCUUGCUAAAUAUGCCGGCGACCGGCGCACGGGUGCGUAACGCGUAUGCAACCUACCUACAAGAGGGGAAUAACCCGGCGAAAGUCGGACUAAUACCGCAUAAAACAGGGGCUCCGCAUGGAGAUAUUUGUUAAAGGAGUAAUCCGCUUGUAGAUGGGCAUGCGUUCCAUUAGAUAGUUGGUCGAGGUAACGGCUCACCAAGUCUACGAUGGAUAGGGGUUCUGAGAGGAAGGUCCCCCACACUGGUACUGAGACACGGACCAGACUCCUACGGGAGGCAGCAGUGAGGAAUAUUGGUCAAUGGACGAGAGUCUGAACCAGCCAAGUCGCGUGAAGGAAGACUGCCCUAUGGGUUGUAAACUUCUUUUAUAGGGGAAUAAAAAGACUCACGUGUGAGUUAUUGCAUGUACCCUAUGAAUAAGGAUCGGCUAACUCCGUGCCAGCAGCCGCGGUAAUACGGAGGAUCCGAGCGUUAUCCGGAUUUAUUGGGUUUAAAGGGUGCGUAGGUGGGGAUUUAAGUCAGCGGUGAAAGUUUGUGGCUCAACCAUAAAAUUGCCGUUGAAACUGGAUUUCUUGGGUAUGUUUGAAGUAGGCGGAAUGCGUGGUGUAGCGGUGAAAUGCUUAGAUAUCACGCAGAACUCCGAUUGCGAAGGCAGCUUACUAAACCAUAACUGACACUGAAAGCACGAAAGCGUGGGGAUCAAACAGGAUUAGAUACCCUGGUAGUCCACGCCGUAAACGAUGAUAACUAGGAGUUAGCGAUAGACAGUUAGCUCUACAGCGAAAGCGUUAAGUUAUCCACCUGGGGAGUACGCCGGCAACGGUGAAACUCAAAGGAAUUGACGGGGGCCCGCACAAGCGGAGGAACAUGUGGUUUAAUUCGAUGAUACGCGAGGAACCUUACCCGGGUUUGAACGCAUUCGGACCGGAGUGGAAACACUCUUUUCAGCAAUGACCGUUUGCGAGGUGCUGCAUGGUUGUCGUCAGCUCGUGCCGUGAGGUGUCGGCUUAAGUGCCAUAACGAGCGCAACCCUUAUUGUUAGUUACCAUCAGGUAGUGCUGGGGACUCUAACAAGACUGCCAGCGUAAGCUGUGAGGAAGGUGGGGAUGACGUCAAAUCAGCACGGCCCUUACAUCCGGGGCGACACACGUGUUACAAUGGAUGGGACAGAGGGCAGCCACUUGGUGACAAGGAGCAAAUCCCUUAAACCCAUUCUCAGUUCGGAUCGAAGUCUGCAACCCGACUUCGUGAAGCUGGAUUCGCUAGUAAUCGCGCAUCAGCCAUGGCGCGGUGAAUACGUUCCCGGGCCUUGUACACACCGCCCGUCAAGCCAUGGGAGUUGGGGGUACCUAAAGUUCGUAACCGCAAGGAUCGACCUAGGGUAAAACCGAUGACUGGGGC